AUGAUAGUCAAAUUGAUUGAUGGCCGUUGGGAGGUCACUUAUUUUAUUGCUGAGCAUAACCAUCCAUUGAUUAAGAAACCUUCAUUGACUAAAUAUUUGCGAUCGCACCAGGGCAUACCACCAGAAGAGAAGUUGUUCCUAAAAAACCUUCAUAAUUGCAACUUAACUACAGGCCGAAUGAUGCACAUCAUGUCGGAUUACUAUGGCACAGAGUUGAUUGUUCCUUAUACUGACAAGCACAUCACGAACCUGAAGUCAAGCUUGAACAGGGAUGCAACUAAAGAAGGCGAUAUGAUUGAGACAGUUGCCUAUUUCAAAGAUAUACAGAAGACAGAUCCAGAAUUCUUCUACAAGGUCAAGUAUGAUGCAGAAGACAAGGUUGAGAAUAUAUUCUGGGUUGAUGGACCAGCACGAAAAGCCUACAAAGAAGCCUAUCAUGAUUACAUAUUCUUUGACACGACAUACAUGACUAACAUGUAUAACAUGUCGUUUGCUCCAUUCAUUGGGAUAAAUCGUCAUGGGCAGACAUUCAUGUUGGGGUGUGGCUUUGUUAGGCAGGAGUUAGAGACAAGUUUUGAUUGGUUAUUUGGUACAUUUCUUGAAGCAAUGGAUGGUCUAGCACCAGACAACAUAAUCACUGACCAAGAUUGGGCGAUGGCACAAUCCAUUGAAAACAUUUUCCCUACUUCUGUGCAUCGUCGAUGUUGGUGGCACAUAAUGAAGAAAGCUCAGGAAAAACUUGGUGGCUUAGUUGGAAGGAACCCAGGAUUGUCAAAAGAUUUCAAUGAUAUAGUUGACUUUAGCUUCACUCCAGGAGAAUUUGAGACAAAAUGGACAAGCUUCAAGGAUAAGUGGCCUUUUAUUGCUGGAACCCACUUUGAUAAGUUGUAUGAGUACCGGGCAACAUGGGUGCCUUGUUACUUCAAACACCGGUUUUUCCCCUUCUUGCAGUCUACCCAGAGAAGCGAAGGUUUUAAUGCAGUUCUUAAGCGUUAUGUGAACCCGCACAACUCUGUGUUGAACUUUGUUAAGCAGUAUGAGAAAAUACAGACACAUGUGCUUGUCCAUGAGGGCGGAAAUGACUAUAGGACAGACCACUUGGAGGUUGAGUUGUGGUCUGAUUUCCCAAUCGAGAAACAAGCCUAUCAAGCCUACACUAGGGACAUUUACCUCAAGUUCCGAACCGAGUUUGCACUAAUUGGGAAAUACAAUGUUCGUCCGCAUGGUGCUAGUUUGUUUGAGCUUUACCCAAACAGAGAAGGAUGGGUUGGUAAUUAUGGUUCUAUAAGCUAUUAUGUGACAGCAGAAGUCGAAUCUGGUGACUACAAAUGUGACUGUUGCAAGAUGACCAAAGAUGGAAUGUUGUGUUGCCAUAUUUUGAAAAAAUUUACACACAUUGGUGUCGAUGCAAUUCCUGCCCAAUACAUACUAAGAAGGUGGACACAGCAAGCAAUACCAGGUGCUGCACCUUCUAUUGAGGCAGAGCCGGAUGAGAUGCCACCGCAAUCGAAGAAGCUAGUUCUCAAGCAAACUUGUCAAUGGAUUUUGCUAGUCUAG
Molecule: ribosomal RNA, 1557 nt
Filed under: Triticum aestivum (bread wheat)
Lineage: Eukaryota; Viridiplantae; Streptophyta; Magnoliopsida; Poales; Poaceae
Description: partial small subunit ribosomal RNA
Source: RNAcentral